Molecule: long non-coding RNA, 1265 nt
Organism: Bombyx mori (domestic silkworm)
Lineage: Eukaryota; Metazoa; Arthropoda; Insecta; Lepidoptera; Bombycidae
Exons: 3
Source: RefSeq, a predicted model, not a curated record
AUUUGUUUAUUAGGUUCACACAAUUCUGUAUAUUCAACUUACAUUAAAAUUCGACAUUAAUAAAAUAUAAGUACAAUAUCGAAAUCACUCUUUCAUGAAAUUAGCUUUGUUUUUGUCAGAGAAAAACAGACUUAAUUUAAUAAAAUAAUAAAACUAAUGAUAGAAAAAUAUAUAAAGCAAGAGAAAACUAUUAAUAAGAACGAUAUUGAUACAAAUCAACGGUAAAAACUAUAUUUGAUAAAAAUGAGAAAUCUAUCGAGUACUAGCAGAUAGCCGUGCUUUUAUACUUUUUUUUUUAUUGCUUUUAUGUGUGGACGAGCUCACAGCCCAUCUGUGGUUACCGGAGCCCAUAGACAUCUACAAUGUAAAUGCGCCAACCACCUUGAGAUAUAAGUUCUAAGGUCUCAGUAUAGUUACAACUCGUAUUAAAUUUAUUAUUCAAGAAGAAUAGAAUACGUUACAUUUUCUCGAGAUAGGGUGUUGCAUAAGUUAAUCUCUGUAAACGGUCGAAGGACCACUUCAACGGUCGGUUAGUUCUUUUGUCGUCUAUUUUAUGCACAUAUGAGAACGGUCAAUUCGUUCCUUGUCGUCUGGUUCGUGUCGGUCUUUUAGGAAGUCAAAAAAAGUACUGCAUGUCAUGACUAGCGUCCGCCCUCGUUCCAUUUAUUUUCAAAUACUUGUCAAGUCUCUAUCUUAGUCUGUGUCUAGUCGUUGUAGGUCUUAUGUCCUGUCAAAGAGGUUGCACGCCACGACACUCUGGUUCACAAACUGGUCCCAUAACAAUGGUUACCAUGACAAUUGUUACUUUGUGUAUAAGACAGUGAAUGAAAAACCCAUUCUGAAUAAGAUAAUAAAACUAAACGCCUAAAUCGCAAAAACAGGAUUUAUGCCAAAUUAUGUACCUACACCGGUCGGAUAGUUUUGAAGAUCACGACUCGAAUCGUUUGAAGGUCUUCCAUGACGUAUUAUCCAAAAAUUUGACUUCACAUGAUGUUUCGAUUUUCGGUAGAUAUUUAUUGAUACCAUCCUGAUCUAACGGCACAUAAUCAAAUUUCUCCCAUUCAGGAAAUAAAGUUUCACCGGUCAGAUGAGUUUGACAACUGGAAAAAUCAUAAAUGUUUACAAUUUGGUUGAGAAUUUAACAUUCCAUAGGGAUCAUCAAUGAGGGCUCAAGACUGAAAUCUAGGGCGGCAGAUUUUAGUCGCGGCAUAUUUGAAGAAAAAGUAUUGUUUUACAUAAAUAAAAAUUUCAUAUCUGUUUACCUA